GGAGAAUCCAACACCAAACUCAAGGAACGCGACAGGAAAAUCACCAAACUCGCCGGGGAAGUCCGGAGACUCACGGCGCUGGUGGCCGAGCGCGACUCCGGGCUCCGGAAGCUCCGCUCAGAGCUCGGUGAGUGU
Corapipo altera (White-ruffed manakin) is the source of this 135-nucleotide long non-coding RNA. RefSeq lists it as uncharacterized. NCBI's taxonomy places the organism in Eukaryota, Metazoa, Chordata, Aves, Passeriformes, Pipridae. The transcript has 6 exons. The record is from RefSeq and is a predicted model, not a curated record.